Molecule: ribosomal RNA, 460 nt
Filed under: uncultured bacterium
Lineage: Bacteria
Description: partial 16S ribosomal RNA
Rfam family: Bacterial small subunit ribosomal RNA
Source: RNAcentral
CCUACGGGAGGCAGCAGUGAGGAAUAUUGGUCAAUGGACGAGAGUCUGAACCAGCCAAGUAGCGUGAAUGAUGACUGCCCUAUGGGUUGUAAACUUCUUUUAUAUGGGAAUAAAACGUUCCACGUGUGGGAUUUUGUAUGUACCAUAUGAAUAAGGAUCGGCUAACUCCGUGCCAGCAGCCGCGGUAAUACGGAGGAUCCGAGCGUUAUCCGGAUUUAUUGGGUUUAAAGGGAGCGUAGGUGGAUUGUUAAGUCAGUUGUGAAAGUUUGCGGCUCAACCGUAAAAUUGCAGUUGAAACUGGCAGUCUUGAGUACAGUAGAGGUGAGCGGAAUUCGUGGUGUAGCGGUGAAAUGCUUAGAUAUCACGAAGAACUCCGAUUGCGAAGGCAGUUCACUGGACUGCAACUGACACUGAGGCUCGAAAGUGUGGGUAUCAAACAGGAUUAGAUACCCCAGUAGUC